CUUGUUCUAUACUUAAUUUUAAACAAUUCUCAGGUUGAACACAUUUUUUUGAUCUCAUUCUACAUGAAACUGGUUUCAUGAAAAGUGACUGUUUCUGUAUCUUGGCAACCUUGAGAAAUAGUUUUACUUUCCAUUUGAAGAAGAACAAUGUUCACUGUCACUGCGUUCUAUUCCACCAAUUCCUGUCGGUUCACUCUUGUGACAUUUGAAUUAUUCCACGGUUACCGACUACAUGAGAAACGUCUUUAGCACAAAAUAAAAGUCGAAGGUGAGAGUGGAAACUGGAUAGAAGAAGGGAUAUUGGAUGAAAAUUACAUUGCAGGGGGUGAAAAAAAAACAUAUAAAAAUGUGCAUAAUCCCGACAAAGAAAACUCGGAAGGAAAUCCUUAAAAACACAAAAAAUCUACACAAACCAGCCUAGAAAUAUGACAAUUGCUGUGCAAAUCAGCUCCACUUUUUCUGUAAGUUACAACUUUAGUUGCUACAGUUCUUGUCUUUAAAUUGUAGUUUUAUUUCCAGUUCUGGAAACCACUUCAAAGAAAAGUAGGUAAUCAUAGAAACGUUUCCAUAAAAGCUGCAAACUCUUGUUAUUCAGCCUCCCACACAGAGGAGCUCGUUCAUCUGAAAGGCACAUAUGGUUUCCAUGUUUCUGCUAAUGAAGACAAGUUGAGGAUGAAUCCCGUUUCCACACAUGCUGCAAUAGCUCACUCAGUAACAGUCGGAACAGGCGGCUCCGUCUGUCCUCACUAAUCCCUCAUGGGACAGAUGCCGUGAUGAACAUUGGAGCACUCUGACAACCACAGCCAGAGCACGUCACUUAUUAUUAAUAUUAGAACAUGGGGUGUGGUUCCAGUUUUGGCUCCGCCCCUCCAUCUUUUGCCAAAACAACACUGGAGCUGGGAAGAGUUGAGGUUUCCAAAGGAGUAAGACCUUUAGCUCAAACUUUUAUUUUGAAGAAAUUAUUCAAAAGUUGAAAAUGGAUGUAAAUUUUCUCUAUUUUUAAAAUAUAUAUAUAUAUAUAUUGCCAUGUAGACAGAAAAUAACAGAUAGCCAAUCAUCAAAACUAACUCUUAUGAGGUUCAAGUGCUCAAAAACAGGCGGUCAGUGUAUGAACAAGGCCGAGUAGAGCGGGGCUUCCAUUGAAGGGCAGCAGUGUGGCAGGGUGCUGGGGCCCUGCCAGGAGCUUCCCGUGUCCGUGCAGGAGGAAGGGGGAGGAAGCUUUAGCUCUAUUAGCUCCAGAACAAGGAGCCCAUCUCAAAUGACACUUUGCUAAUCACAAACUUGACACCCAUUGCUGUUAUUAAGCUCCAACUGUCACCCCAUCUGCUCCCUUAUUUAACUUUUGAGGUAUUUUAGGGUUUAUAAAUGUUGAGUGUGAUCGUUUUUGGUCACCUUAGGACAACAAAGCCAAAAAAAUAAAUAAAUAACGAGAAGUCAUGCUGUUGAAAAGCUUUUCCUGUCAUAUUCAAGUGACCCAACAAGUAACUGAAGGUGUUAACAAGUCAGCUGUGUUUCUGAGCCUAUGAUGUUAGCUAAAAGUCUGUUUGACAGUUCAGUAAAUAAUGUAUAGGCACAGCGAUAGAGUGGACAAAAAGGAAAUCUCACUACAAAUGUUGCAAGAAAACUUCCUAUUUUAUCCAAUUGUAGGAUUGAAAACAAUUGUAAACUCUAAAAACACAAUUACAUUAAAAACACAGGAGUUGUAAAGUACCCCAAAA
This is a long non-coding RNA of Oryzias melastigma (Indian medaka), 1718 nucleotides long. RefSeq lists it as uncharacterized. The transcript has 2 exons. The record is from RefSeq and is a predicted model, not a curated record. Lineage: Eukaryota; Metazoa; Chordata; Actinopteri; Beloniformes; Adrianichthyidae.